AUAAGGGAGAAAAAAGCAAAAAAAUGAAAAAAGAGUCAUAAACUGAAGAGAGAAGGUCCCUGAAUUUACUGCCCUGCUAUCACCACUCCACUCCACUGAGUCCUCCCAGUGUGCACUGGGUUGAUGAUGUCAUUAACAGCACAGACCGGCACUGGAGCGGGGAAUCUCCCUAUGAGGAAAAGAUGGAUCUAUUCUCC
Molecule: non-coding RNA, 197 nt
Organism: Thamnophis sirtalis
Lineage: Eukaryota; Metazoa; Chordata; Lepidosauria; Squamata; Natricidae
Source: RefSeq, a predicted model, not a curated record